CGACGCAGUCCACUAUUGGACCACUCACACACGCUCACUCAGGAAGUCAUCGAGUCAUCAGUAUGCUGAAGAUCUCCAUCUGUCUGGCCCUCCUGCUGUAUGGCAUCGUGCCGCAUCAUGCCGAUGGCCUACUAAUGGGAGUCGGAGUCGCAACCGACAGCCCCGAAAGAUGCUGUUUCAAAUUUUUUAAAGGCAGAAUUCCCAGCGCCAACAUUGUGAGCAUGAAGAAAAUUUACUCUGACUGUCCUCAUCAAGGAUUUAUUGUUAAGACCGUCAAAGGACGAUUAUUCUGCGUGGAUGAAGAAUAUUUCAAAUGAAGACAGCUCAAAACUGAAGUUUCCAUCAGACGGCGCCUCAGUGUCAUCGGGGUUAUAGCCAAAAGUCUUCUCAUCUGUUCGUCAGUGAAGUUUGUUUUAUACGCUUGAGAGCAUAGCGAAUCCUGUCUUUGCUUAUUCAUAAAUUGAAUUGACUUUGUAACAAUUUAUAACAAUAGGUGUGAAACGAAAAAAGAGAGUCAGCCUUAUGUGGAAAUGUAAACUGUGAUGGUAUAUUAAGACAUAAAUUCCAUAUUUCAUAUUUGUUUGGCAUUGCUCAUAUCAGCUCAGGACGGCACAAACGGCACGGCAAAUUAUGGGGAACUGACACUCUGUCAGUGUAUGUUGGGGGUGGGCGGGGGGUCUGCUUUAUGUGUUAGGCUUAUGCAGUGGCUCCAGUGUCUGCUGAACUGCUUCAUUAUGUGGAAAUGUAAACUGUGAAGGUAUAUUAAGACAUAAAUUCCAAAUUUCAUAUUUGUUUGGCAUUGCUCAUAUCAGCUCAGGACAGCACAAACCUCAGAAGGUGUAAGGCUAAGUACAGGGAACUGACACUCUGCCAGUGUAUGUUGGGUGUGGGGGGUAUAGGGAGCCCCAUCCUGCAGUCCCCGUUCUGUGCACUGUAGGCCAGGAGAAAUGCUCAAAUGAGUUCCAGUUAUUUCCUGUUGUGACUGAGUGAACCACUGCUUUGUGUGUUAGGCUUAUGCAGUGGCUCCAGUGUGUUGAACUGCUUCAUUAUGACAUGCACUGCUGUACAUCUAAGAAAUAAAAUGCAUUUACAUAAA
Long non-coding RNA from Anguilla rostrata (American eel), 1096 nucleotides. RefSeq lists it as uncharacterized. NCBI's taxonomy places the organism in Eukaryota, Metazoa, Chordata, Actinopteri, Anguilliformes, Anguillidae. The transcript has 3 exons. The record is from RefSeq and is a predicted model, not a curated record.